AUUGAACGCUGGCGGCAUGCCUUACACAUGCAAGUCGAACGGCAGCACGGGGGCAACCCUGGUGGCGAGUGGCGAACGGGUGAGUAACAUAUCGGAACAUACCCUAGAGUGGGGAUAACGUAGCGAAAGUUACGCUAAUACCGCAUACGAUCUAAGGAUGAAAGUGGGGGAUCUUCGGACCUCAUGCUCAUGGAGUGGCCGAUAUCUGAUUAGCUAGUUGGUGAGGUAAAGGCUCACCAAGGCGACGAUCAGUAGCUGGUUUGAGAGAACGACCAGCCACACUGGAACUGAGACACGGUCCAGACUCCUACGGGGGGCAGCAGUGGGGAAUUUUGGACAAUGGGGGCAACCCUGAUCCAGCAAUGCCGCGUGAGUG
This 376-nucleotide ribosomal RNA is filed under the name uncultured bacterium. RNAcentral's name for it is "bacterial SSU rRNA". It matches the Rfam family "Bacterial small subunit ribosomal RNA", at positions 30 to 407 of the family's 1533-position model. The record is from RNAcentral.